This 496-nucleotide ribosomal RNA is filed under the name uncultured bacterium. RNAcentral describes it as "partial 16S ribosomal RNA". It matches the Rfam family "Bacterial small subunit ribosomal RNA", at positions 28 to 507 of the family's 1533-position model. The record is from RNAcentral.
GACGAACGCUGGCGGCGUGCCUAAUACAUGCAAGUAGAACGCUGAAGAGAGGAGCUUGCUCUUCUUGGAUGAGUUGCGAACGGGUGAGUAACGCGUAGGUAACCUGCCUUGUAGCGGGGGAUAACUAUUGGAAACGAUAGCUAAUACCGCAUAACAAUAGGUGACACAUGUCAUUUAUUUGAAAGGGGCAAUUGCUCCACUACAAGAUGGACCUGCGUUGUAUUAGCUAGUAGGUGAGGUAACGGCCCACCAAGGCGACGAUACAUAGCCGGCCUGAGAGGAUGAUAAGUCAAAAGGGAACUGAGACACGGUCCAGACCACUAAGGGAGGCAGCAGGGGGGAAGAUGGGACAAUGGGCGAAAGCCUGAUCCAGCCAUGCCGCGUGUGUGAAGAAGGUCUUCGGAUGGUAAAGCACUGUGAGUUGGGAGGAAGGGCAGUAGGUUAAUACCUUGCUGUUGUGACGGUACCAACAGAAUAAGAACCGGCUAACUUCGUG